RNAcentral lists this ribosomal RNA (253 nucleotides) under uncultured bacterium. Its description in RNAcentral is "partial 16S ribosomal RNA". It matches the Rfam family "Bacterial small subunit ribosomal RNA", at positions 524 to 776 of the family's 1533-position model. The record is from RNAcentral.
UACGGGGGGAGCAAGCGUUGUUCGGAUUUACUGGGCGUAAAGGGCGCGUAGGCGGCACUGUUAGUCAGGCGUGAAAUUCCUGGGCUCAACCUGGGGACUGCGCUUGAUACGGCAGAGCUAGAGGAUGGAAGAGGCUCGCGGAAUUCCCAGUGUAGAGGUGAAAUUCGUAGAUAUUGGGAAGAACACCGGUGGCGAAGGCGGCGAGCUGGUCCAUUACUGACGCUGAGGCGCGACAGCGUGGGGAGCAAACAGG